Molecule: ribosomal RNA, 253 nt
Filed under: uncultured bacterium
Lineage: Bacteria
Description: partial 16S ribosomal RNA
Rfam family: Bacterial small subunit ribosomal RNA
Source: RNAcentral
UACGGGGGGGGCAAGCGUUGUUCGGAAUUACUGGGCGUAAAGGGCUCGUAGGCGGCCAACUAAGUCAGACGUGAAAUCCCCAGGCUCAACCUGGGAACUGCGUCUGAUACUGGAUGGCUUGAAUUCGGGAGAGGGAUGCAGAAUUCCCGGUGUAGAGGUGAAAUUCGUAGAUAUCGGGAGGAAUACCAGUGGCGAAGGCGGCGACCUGGGUAGAUACUGACGCUGAGGUGCGAAAGCGUGGGGAGCAAACAGG